AUCGACCAGACCAUCAAAAAAUCUAUUAAGAAAGACAUAGACGUCUCCGUGCAGGCGCCGUCCGUCUACGUCUUCCCCCCGCCGGCUGAGGAGUUGGCGCGUCAGGAAAUGGCCACCUUGACCUGUUUGGCGUUGGGUUUCCGUCCUCGGGACAUCUUGGUGACCUGGACCCAAGAAGACCGUCCGGUUGCUGCCAGCAGCUACUCCACCUUCGGUCCGCAGCAAGACGGGAACACCUUCACGGUCUACAGCAAGUUGAGCGUGCCGGCGGCCGAUUGGCAACGGGGCGACUACUUCUCCUGCGUGGUGGGCCACGACGGCUUCGCCAUGAAGUUCGUGCAGAAGACCUUGGACAAGAGCAUCGGUAAACCCAACAAC
Molecule: non-coding RNA, 378 nt
Organism: Pelecanus crispus (Dalmatian pelican)
Lineage: Eukaryota; Metazoa; Chordata; Aves; Pelecaniformes; Pelecanidae
Source: the annotation of a RefSeq genome assembly